Molecule: non-coding RNA, 1216 nt
Organism: Sebastes umbrosus (honeycomb rockfish)
Lineage: Eukaryota; Metazoa; Chordata; Actinopteri; Perciformes; Sebastidae
Source: the annotation of a RefSeq genome assembly
AUAAGAUUAAUAAUUAUUAUUUUUCUAAUAUUCUAUUUGUAAUUAGAUGUACUUAAUAUCGGCUUUAAAAACAUUUUAAAGACAAAUUUAUUUAAACUUUACAGAAAAUGUGUAUGUUAAAUUCUUUGAUUCGUUUAUUUUGUAAAUAUAAAAAACAAUAUAUUGAAUUAAAAUGUGAUGUGGAUUCCUGUUGAACACAAAUGUGAUUUUAUGGGUAAAUGCAGCUCAUCUUUGUGUUCACGGUUCAUUAAUUUUACAUGUAGUGAACAGGAAGUGAAAGAGACAGAUGACAAAGGUUUUAACUGUAUUUAACUGUCAGUUUAAACAGAAGAAAAUCAUCUCAGGGACGAGUUAUUCACUGUCACACGUUAUGAAACACAUACGAAGAUGUCAUCAAUAAUCUUCAUCGAUGAACCUUUUUAGUUGCAUUCACACUUGAAUCAUGAGGCUGAUGGUGAGAUACUGAGUGAUUUAUGAGUGCAGCAGCAGCAGCUCAAGUUAUUCUGUUUUAUUUGAUCAAAUAUAAUAAAUGAGCAGGAUGUGAUGUUUCUUUAUUACCAAGCCUUCACUCUCAUUGCUUUGUCUUUUCUCCCCCCCUCUCCUCCCCCUCUCUCUCCUCCAGUGGGUGUGGAGCAGCCCACCCUGACCGUCCUCCCCCCCUCCAGAGAGGAGCUGAAGCAGGGCAGUGCCACACUGGUGUGUCUGGCCAGCGGGGGCUUCCCCUCAGCCUGGACGCUGGGCUGGAAGGUGGGGUGCAGCAGCAGCUCCUCAGGGGCGUCACACAGCCUGGAGGUCCUGGGGAGGGACGGCCACUACAGCUGGAGCAGCACCUUGAGCCUCCCUGCAGACCAGUGGAGGAAUGCGGGCUCAGUGAGCUGUGAGGCCAGUCUGAGUGGACAGAGGCCUGUCACUCAAAGCCUGGAGCCUGACCGCUGCUCAGAGUAGAGUUUCAGCAACACUUCCUGUCUGCAAAUGAUGCCGCUUCUUUGACAGAGAUCUGGAUGAAGCUCCAGAUCUCCUCUGUUCACAUGUUUCUGCAUGUUUCACAGCUCUCUACUCAGUGUUUUACUCUGCAUGUUGCUUUCUAAUACUCAUCUUCUGCAUGUUCUUCUUUAUGCUCAUUAAAUGAUUUUCACUCAAAGAGAAACUAUUCAUUCAUCAGAAAUGUGGCAUGAACAUUAAACCAUCAUUAAAUAAAACUGUGGAUUAUAAUAAA